Molecule: long non-coding RNA, 906 nt
Organism: Serinus canaria (Common canary)
Lineage: Eukaryota; Metazoa; Chordata; Aves; Passeriformes; Fringillidae
Exons: 3
Source: RefSeq, a predicted model, not a curated record
GCAGCAGCUCACAGGAUUUAGGGUCUGUUGGGCUAAGAGCAGUAAGGGGAAAAAAACCACAACCCAAAAAUAAUGGUAAUAAAAAAAGAGUUGAUGUUUUCGUCAGGGAAGCAGGAAGACUUCUGGAGCCCACACUCUUGUUACUGAGUCCUGGGUGGUGAGGCAAAGCCAUGGCAAUGUGCUGUGACCACCAGAACACUCUCCAAGUGCCCCUGUCCUGAUCCCACGUCACCAUCUCUGCUUGUGGUCACUCGAUGUUUUUUCUGUGGAGAUGCCAUAACUGCAUCAAAUGAAAACCCAUUGUACGCUGGAGACUUGAAAAGUUCAUGGAUGAAUUGUCCCAGAUGUUUCUCACAGGACUUUGGCCAACGCUCAUUAAUCCUUGAAGAUGUAACCAAGGGAUCCACGGUGGAUAAUUUGGUGUAACAGUGUAUCACCAGUAUUUUUAAUUUAGAUUCCUCUUACCCACCUGAGGGUCCCACACCUGAGCCACAAGAACAGGAAAGGAGCAAGAUCUAUUUCCACACCAGAGACACUUUUCCUGAUCAACCCUGGAACAGCUGGAUAUCCCCUGUCCAUCAUCUUGGGGCACAGCAAAGCUGUGCUAGAAUCAAAAGUUUUCACAAAACACGAGAGACUGCAAAGGAAGAAGAAACUGCCUGCAAAGCUGUGAUCUUGUCCUUAGUCAGAGCUGAUUAUUUUAAAAUCCAAGAUUUUUUAUUGCUGGAGCUGUCUCAUUUCCCUGGCACAAGGUCACAGAAUGCUGUGGAGCCCAUUCCCAUUGUUCCUGAGCACUCUGGGCUGCUAUAAAAGGUACUCCAGGGCACUCAGUCACUGCACUGGAGCAUCACCACAGGGCUGGCAGGAGAUUCUGCAGGUCAGGACUUCCCUGGCAUCCAAACACCA